This 496-nucleotide ribosomal RNA is filed under the name uncultured bacterium. Its description in RNAcentral is "partial 16S ribosomal RNA". It matches the Rfam family "Bacterial small subunit ribosomal RNA", at positions 28 to 506 of the family's 1533-position model. The record is from RNAcentral.
GAUGAACACUGGCGGCGUGCCUAAUACAUGCAAGUCGAGCGAACAGACGAGGAGCUUGCUCCUCUGACGUUAGCGGCGGACGGGUGAGUAACACGUGGAUAACCUACCUAUAAGACUGGGAUAACUUCGGGAAACCGGAGCUAAUACCGGAUAAUAUAUUGAACCGCAUGGUUCAAUAGUGAAAGACGGUUUUGCUGUCACUUAUAGAUGGAUCCGCGCCGCAUUAGCUAGUUGGUAAGGUAACGGCUUACCAAGGCAACGAUGCGUAGCCGACCUGAGAGGGUGAUCGGCCACACUGGAACUGAGACACGGUCCAGACUCCUACGGGAGGCAGCAGUAGGGAAUCUUCCGCAAUGGGCGAAAGCCUGACGGAGCAACGCCGCGUGAGUGAUGAAGGUCUUCGGAUCGUAAAACUCUGUUAUUAGGGAAGAACAAAUGUGUAAGUAACUAUGCACGUCUUGACGGUACCUAAUCAGAAAGCCACGGCUAACUACGU